This 382-nucleotide ribosomal RNA is filed under the name uncultured soil bacterium. Its description in RNAcentral is "bacterial SSU rRNA". It matches the Rfam family "Bacterial small subunit ribosomal RNA", at positions 26 to 429 of the family's 1533-position model. The record is from RNAcentral.
AGAACGAACGCUGGCGGCAGGCUUAACACAUGCAAGUCGAACGGUUGUAGCAAUACAGCAGUGGCAGACGGGUGAGUAACACGUGGGAACCUUCCUAGGGGUACGGAACAACUCAGGGAAACUUGAGCUAAUACCGUAUACGUCCGUGAGGAGAAAGUUUUAACGCCCCUAGACGGGCCCGCGUAGGAUUAGGUAGUUGGUGAGGUAACGGCUCACCAAGCCUACGAUCCUUAGCUGAUCUGAGAGGAUGAUCAGCCACACUGGGACUGAGACACGGCCCAGACUCCGUACGGGAGGCAGCAGGUGGGGAAUCGUUGGACAAGUGGGCGCAAGCCUGAUCCAGCCAUGCCGCGUGAGUAGAAGAGGUCCUUGGGUUAGUAAA